AACGCAUAUUGCGCCCUCCGGUAUUCCGGAGGGCAUGCCUGUCCGAGCGUCAUUAUCAACCCUCAAGCCCUGCUUGCUGUUGGACCUCUCGACGAAAGUUGACGGCCCCAAAGGUAAUGACGGCGUUGUGGCAACCCCCAGAUGCAAUGAGCUUUAACACGCACGCAUCACGGCGGUACCAUGACCCCAGUCUUCAACAAUUCUUCUAAGGUUGACCUCGGAUCAGGUAGGAAUACCCGCUGAACUUAA
Molecule: unclassified non-coding RNA, 249 nt
Filed under: uncultured fungus
Lineage: Eukaryota; Fungi
Description: sequence contains ITS2
Rfam family: 5.8S ribosomal RNA (bases 1-52)
Source: RNAcentral